RNAcentral lists this ribosomal RNA (218 nucleotides) under uncultured bacterium. RNAcentral describes it as "partial 16S ribosomal RNA". It matches the Rfam family "Bacterial small subunit ribosomal RNA", at positions 328 to 539 of the family's 1533-position model. The record is from RNAcentral.
ACGCUCGACACCUACGGGNGGCAGCAGUGAGGAAUAUUGGUCAAUGGGCGCUAGCCUGAACCAGCCAAGUAGCGUGAAGGAUGAAGGCUCUAUGGGUCGUAAACUUCUUUUAUAUAAGAAUAAAGUGCAGUAUGUAUACUGUUUUGUAUGUAUUAUAUGAAUAAGGAUCGGCUAACUCCGUGCCUGCAGCCGCGGUAAUCUGAGCGGGCUGGCAAGGC